This 493-nucleotide ribosomal RNA is filed under the name uncultured bacterium. RNAcentral's name for it is "partial 16S ribosomal RNA". It matches the Rfam family "Bacterial small subunit ribosomal RNA", at positions 28 to 506 of the family's 1533-position model. The record is from RNAcentral.
GACGAACGCUGGCGGCGUGCUUAACACAUGCAAGUCGAACGGUGAAGCGCCUUCCUUUUUGGUGGGUGUGGAUGAGUGGCGAACGGGUGAGUAACACGUGAGUAACCUGCCCCCUUCUUCUGGAUAACCGCAUGAAAGUGUGGCUAAUACGGGAUAUUCUGGGUCUGUCGCAUGAUGGGUCUGGGAAAGAUAUUGUUUCGGUGGGGGAUGGGCUCGCGGCCUAUCAGCUUGUUGGUGGGGUGAUGGCCUACCAAGGCUGUGACGGGUAGCCGGCCUGAGAGGGUGGACGGUCACACUGGGACUGAGACACGGGCCAGACUGCUACGGGAGGCAGCAGUGGGGAAUAUUGCACAAUGGGCGCAAGCCUGAUGCAGCGACGCCGCGUGAGGGAUGGAGGCCUUCGGGUUGUGAACCUCUUUCGCCAGUGAAGCAGGCCUGCCUCGUUUGUGGGUGGGUUGACGGUAGCUGGAUAAGAAGCGCCGGCUAACUACGU